GGUUAAAAAGCUCGUAGUUGGAUCUCGGCAAGUAGAGGGCGGUAUGCUUCGUAGCAUUACUGCCCUAUUACUUGUAGUUUUGCCAGAGGUUCCUGGGUGCUCUUAAUCGAGUGUCUAGGGAUGCUGGCAGGUUUACUUUGAAAAAAUUAGAGUGCUCAAAGCAGGCUAUUACGCUUGAAUAUUCGUGCAUGGAAUAAUAGAAUAGGAAGUUGUUUCUAUUUUGUUGGUUUUCGGAAAUCGACUUAAUGAUUAAUAGGGACAGUCGGGGCAUUUGUAUUCAAACGACAGAGGUGAAAUUCUUGGACCGUUUGAAGACAAACUACUGCGAAAGCAUUUGCCAAGAAUGUCUUCAUUAAUCAAGAACGAAAGUUAGAGGUUCGAAGGCGAUUAGAUACCGCCCUAGUUCUAACCAU
Molecule: ribosomal RNA, 413 nt
Filed under: uncultured marine eukaryote
Lineage: Eukaryota
Description: SSU rRNA
Rfam family: Eukaryotic small subunit ribosomal RNA
Source: RNAcentral